RNAcentral lists this transfer RNA (74 nucleotides) under Streptomyces sp. PanSC19. RNAcentral describes it as "tRNA-Leu". It matches the Rfam family "tRNA". From Rfam's summary of the family: Transfer RNA (tRNA) molecules are approximately 80 nucleotides in length. Their secondary structure includes four short double-helical elements and three loops (D, anti-codon, and T loops). The record is from RNAcentral. Lineage: Bacteria; Bacillati; Actinomycetota; Actinomycetes; Kitasatosporales; Streptomycetaceae.
GCCCGCCUAGCCCAAAGGCAAGAGGCGUCGCGCUUAGACCGCGAAGGUUCCCGGUUCGAGUCCGGGGGCGGGCA